CUGCUAGAUGAAAAAGUCAGGAAUUGAAGGCCCGCUGGAUAGGAGGAGACUGGUUGGCCGGAUGUGAUCGACUGAUGACCAUCUCUCGAUCGGACUAAGCUGGUUAUUCGGGCAAGCUGUUGAUUCAUCAACUUAGCCUAUGGGAGUCGACCACUAAGGAGAUAUCGGCGGCCAUGAGUGAGAGUUACCGGAUGAUAGUCGGCGGGCCUUCAUCUGCUCAAGAUG
RNAcentral lists this long non-coding RNA (225 nucleotides) under Elaeis guineensis (African oil palm). RNAcentral's name for it is "long non-coding RNA (EGUI_LNC028414)". The record is from RNAcentral. Lineage: Eukaryota; Viridiplantae; Streptophyta; Magnoliopsida; Arecales; Arecaceae.